Long non-coding RNA from Mus caroli (Ryukyu mouse), 586 nucleotides. RefSeq lists it as uncharacterized. The record is from RefSeq and is a predicted model, not a curated record. Lineage: Eukaryota; Metazoa; Chordata; Mammalia; Rodentia; Muridae.
ACCACUAAGCCACUUCUCCACCCACAAGGAGUUUAACAAAGUAAUGCUAACAGAGUCCAUCUAGAGGAAUACUAGAAGAGCCCACUGAAUGUUAGCGGUGGCUGUGACUGGAUACAAUGUAUGGGUACAAAAGCUAACAAGGGAUACUUUAUCCCAAGAGAAACUAGCGUCAAUGCUCACAACUUGAAGAAUGAUUUCAGCUCUCCUCCAGACCACCACGCCAGCAUUUACCCUACAAGCCCUGCAGUGUGAAAUUUAGAUAGCACAGUAUCUGGAUCAUUUUCUGUUUCCUUUAGUGAAGGUGGAUGAUAACGCCAUCACUGCAUGGGGGAUGGGCUGCGGAGAGUGCUGGCUAUCUGCAGAGAGCGCCCCUGAAAUACCCCUGGACCCUGAGACAGUUGAAGAAUCAGAAAGUCUGAGGAUUGAUCGAGAAGAUCUCUAGCCUUUAAUACUAGUGGCCCUGGACACCGGCAGGCAGACUUACUUCAUGGAGGAGAGGAGAGUCUCUGUCUUUGGGUCCACUAGUGUCCUCAGAGAACAGCGUUUGAGGAGACAGGGGGAAAGUCCUGCCUAAAAGAACUGCACA